AGUGAACGCUGGCGGUAGGCCUAACACAUGCAAGUCGAACGGCAGCACAGUAAGAGCUUGCUCUUACGGGUGGCGAGUGGCGGACGGGUGAGGAAUACAUCGGAAUCUACUUUUUCGUGGGGAUAACGUAGGGAAACUUACGCUAAUACCGCAUACGACCUACGGGUGAAAGCAGGGGAUCUUCGGACCUUGCGCGAUUGAAUGAGCCGAUGUCGGAUUAGCUAGUUGGCGGGGUAAAGGCCCACCAAGGCGACGAUCCGUAGCUGGUCUGAGAGGAUGAUCAGCCACACUGGAACUGAGACACGGUCCAGACUCCUACGGGAGGCAGCAGUGGGGAAUAUUGGACAAUGGGCGCAAGCCUGAUCCAGCCAUACCGCGUGGGUGAAGAAGGCCUUCGGGUUGUAAAGCCCUUUUGUUGGGAAAGAAAAGCAGCAGGUUAAUACCCCGCUGUUCUGACGGUACCCAAAGAAUAAGCACCGACUAACUUCGUG
Molecule: ribosomal RNA, 491 nt
Filed under: uncultured bacterium
Lineage: Bacteria
Description: partial 16S ribosomal RNA
Rfam family: Bacterial small subunit ribosomal RNA
Source: RNAcentral